Molecule: ribosomal RNA, 1372 nt
Filed under: uncultured bacterium
Lineage: Bacteria
Description: bacterial SSU rRNA
Rfam family: Bacterial small subunit ribosomal RNA
Source: RNAcentral
GAUGAACGCUGGCGGCGUGCCUAAUACAUGCAAGUCGAGCGAACGGACGAGAAGCUUGCUUCUCUGAUGUUAGCGGCGGACGGGUGAGUAACACGUGGAUAACCUACCUAUAAGACUGGGAUAACUUCGGGAAACCGGAGCUAAUACCGGAUGAUAUUUUGAACCGCAUGGUUCAAAAGUGAAAGACGGUCUUGCUGUCACUUAUAGAUGGAUCCGCGCUGCAUUAGCUAGUUGGUAAGGUAACGGCUUACCAAGGCAACGAUGCAUAGCCGACCUGAGAGGGUGAUCGGCCACACUGGAACUGAGACACGGUCCAGACUCCUACGGGAGGCAGCAGUAGGGAAUCUUCCGCAAUGGGCGAAAGCCUGACGGAGCAACGCCGCGUGAGUGAUGAAGGUCUUCGGAUCGUAAAACUCUGUUAUUAGGGAAGAACAUAUGUGUAAGUAACUGUGCACAUCUUGACGGUACCUAAUCAGAAAGCCACGGCUAACUACGUGCCAGCAGCCGCGGUAAUACGUAGGUGGCAAGCGUUAUCCGGAAUUAUUGGGCGUAAAGCGCGCGUAGGCGGUUUUUUAAGUCUGAUGUGAAAGCCCACGGCUCAACCGUGGAGGGUCAUUGGAAACUGGAAAACUUGAGUGCAGAAGAGGAAAGUGGAAUUCCAUGUGUAGCGGUGAAAUGCGCAGAGAUAUGGAGGAACACCAGUGGCGAAGGCGACUUUCUGGUCUGUAACUGACGCUGAUGUGCGAAAGCGUGGGGAUCAAACAGGAUUAGAUACCCUGGUAGUCCACGCCGUAAACGAUGAGUGCUAAGUGUUAGGGGGUUUCCGCCCCUUAGUGCUGCAGCUAACGCAUUAAGCACUCCGCCUGGGGAGUACGACCGCAAGGUUGAAACUCAAAGGAAUUGACGGGGGCCCGCACAAGCGGUGGAGCAUGUGGUUUAAUUCGAAGCAACGCGAAGAACCUUACCAAAUCUUGACAUCCUUUGACAACUCUAGAGAUAGAGCCUUCCCCUUCGGGGGACAAAGUGACAGGUGGUGCAUGGUUGUCGUCAGCUCGUGUCGUGAGAUGUUGGGUUAAGUCCCGCAACGAGCGCAACCCUUAAGCUUAGUUGCCAUCAUUAAGUUGGGCACUCUAAGUUGACUGCCGGUGACAAACCGGAGGAAGGUGGGGAUGACGUCAAAUCAUCAUGCCCCUUAUGAUUUGGGCUACACACGUGCUACAAUGGACAAUACAAAGGGCAGCGAAACCGCGAGGUCAAGCAAAUCCCAUAAAGUUGUUCUCAGUUCGGAUUGUAGUCUGCAACUCGACUACAUGAAGCUGGAAUCGCUAGUAAUCGUAGAUCAGCAUGCUACGGUGAAUACGUUCCCGGGUCU